Molecule: ribosomal RNA, 400 nt
Filed under: phytoplankton environmental sample
Lineage: Eukaryota
Description: partial small subunit ribosomal RNA
Rfam family: Eukaryotic small subunit ribosomal RNA
Source: RNAcentral
AGCUCCAAUAGCGUAUAUUAAAGUUGUUGCAGUUAAAAAGCUCGUAGUUGGAUUUGUGGUGUACUUCGGCGGCCCGUCACUUAGUGAUGGAGCUUGCUGAAGUCGCCAUCCUUGGGUGGAUCCUGUGUGGCAUUAAGUUGUCGUGCAGGGGAUGCCCAUCGUUUACUGUGAAAAAAUUAGAGUGUUCAAAGCAGGCUUAUGCCGUUGAAUAUAUUAGCAUGGAAUAAUAAGAUAGGACCUUGGUACUAUUUUGUUGGUUUGCGCACCAAGGUAAUGAUUAAUAGGGACAGUUGGGGGUAUUCGUAUUUCAUUGUCAGAGGUGAAAUUCUUGGAUUUUUGAAAGACGAACUACUGCGAAAGCAUUUACCAAGGAUGUUUUCAUUAAUCAAGAACGAAAGUA